AUGUGGUUUAAUUCGAAGCAACGCGAAGAACCUUUACCAGGUCUUGACAUCCCGAUGCUAUUUCUAGAGAUAGAAAGUUACUUCGGUACAUCGGUGACAGGUGGUGCAUGGUUGUCGUCAGCUCGUGUCGUGAGAUGUUGGGUUAAGUCCCGCAACGAGCGCAACCCCUAUUGUUAGUUGCCAUCAUUCAGUUGGGCACUCUAGCGAGACUGCCGGUAAUAACCGGAGGAAGUGGGAUGACGUCAAAUCAUCAUGCCCCUUAUGACCUGGGCUACACACGUGCUACAAUGGUUGGUACAACGAGUUGCGAGUCGGUGACGGCGAGCUAAUCUCUUAAAGCCAAUCUCAGUUCGGAUUGUAGGCUGCAACUCGCCUACAUGAAGUCGGAAUCGCUAGUAAUCGCGGAUCAGCACGCCGCGGUGAAUACGUUCCCGGGCCUU
RNAcentral lists this ribosomal RNA (440 nucleotides) under uncultured Streptococcus sp. Its description in RNAcentral is "bacterial SSU rRNA". It matches the Rfam family "Bacterial small subunit ribosomal RNA", at positions 939 to 1382 of the family's 1533-position model. Lineage: Bacteria; Bacillati; Bacillota; Bacilli; Lactobacillales; Streptococcaceae. The record is from RNAcentral.